UACGGGGGGAGCAAGCGUUGUUCGGAUUUACUGGGCGUAAAGGGCGCGUAGGCGGGAUGGCAAGUCGGUCGUGAAAUCUCUCGGCUCAACCGAGAAACGUCGGCCGAUACUGCCGUUCUUGAGGGAUGCAGAGGAGACUGGAAUUCCUGGUGUAGCGGUGGAAUGCGCAGAUAUCAGGAGGAACACCGGUGGCGAAGGCGGGUCUCUGGGCAGUAACUGACGCUGAGGAGCGAAAGCGUGGGGAGCGAACAGG
RNAcentral lists this ribosomal RNA (253 nucleotides) under uncultured bacterium. Its description in RNAcentral is "partial 16S ribosomal RNA". It matches the Rfam family "Bacterial small subunit ribosomal RNA", at positions 524 to 776 of the family's 1533-position model. The record is from RNAcentral.